Haliotis rubra (blacklip abalone) is the source of this 130-nucleotide long non-coding RNA. RefSeq lists it as uncharacterized. The transcript is spliced from 3 exons. NCBI's taxonomy places the organism in Eukaryota, Metazoa, Mollusca, Gastropoda, Lepetellida, Haliotidae. The record is from RefSeq and is a predicted model, not a curated record.
CAAGCUGCCAAACACGGUCACCCAUCCAAGGACUCUCCGAGCUCGACGCUGCUUAACUUCACCGAUUUGUGACCUGAGCUUUGAGCACAGGAACACGCGCCACCACUUUCAUGUGUUUUGAAAUCAAGUA